Molecule: ribosomal RNA, 433 nt
Filed under: uncultured bacterium
Lineage: Bacteria
Description: partial 16S ribosomal RNA
Rfam family: Bacterial small subunit ribosomal RNA
Source: RNAcentral
AACGAACGCUGGCGGCAUGCCUAACACAUGCAAGUCGAACGAGACCUUCGGGUCUAGUGGCGCACGGGUGCGUAACGCGUGGGAACCUGCCCUUAGGUUCGGAAUAACUCCCCGAAAGGGGUGCUAAUACCGGAUAAUGUCUUCGGACCAAAGAUUUAUCGCCUUUGGAUGGGCCCGCGUUGGAUUAGCUAGUUGGUAGGGUAAAAGCCUACCAAGGCGGCGAUCCAUAGCUGGUCUGAGAGGAUGAUCGGCCACACUGGGACUGAGACACGGCCCAGACUCCUACGGGAGGCAGCAGUGGGGAAUAUUGGACAAUGGGCGAAAGCCUGAUCCAGCAAUGCCGCGUGAGUGAUGAAGGCCUUAGGGUUGUAAAGCUCUUUUACCCGGGAUGAUAAUGACAGUACCGGGAGAAUAAGCUCCGGCUAACUCCGUG